AUGCGCGCCGCGGGGAGCAUAGUUGGGGCGCCGGCAUGGGAGAGCCGCGCUGCUGGCCGUCCGGAGGAGCUACGGCGGCGCCAUCAGGUUCUGCACGACUGCGACAUUUGUAUCAGACACAAAGUUGACCUGGAGCGCGUGCUGCUUGAUGGAAGUACAGAGCCAACACGCCUGGCGCUAUCACUUUUAGAAGACAUCACAAACAGUUUUUCUGAUGAUGAGCAAAUUGGCAGCGGUGGGUUUGCGGUGGUUUAUAAGGGAAUGGUGGGAAAGGGGAUGGUCGCCGUGAAGAAGCUGCGCAACACAUAUGGUGAAUAUGGGAAACAAUUCUAUAAAGAGGUUGAGUGCCUAAUGAAGGUCAAGCACGAGAACAUAGUGCGUUUCUUAGGAUAUUGUUCCGACACGUAA
Molecule: ribosomal RNA, 408 nt
Filed under: Triticum aestivum (bread wheat)
Lineage: Eukaryota; Viridiplantae; Streptophyta; Magnoliopsida; Poales; Poaceae
Description: partial small subunit ribosomal RNA
Source: RNAcentral